This 1229-nucleotide small RNA is filed under the name Oryza sativa Japonica Group (Japanese rice). Its description in RNAcentral is "sRNA Os09g0490750". The record is from RNAcentral. Lineage: Eukaryota; Viridiplantae; Streptophyta; Magnoliopsida; Poales; Poaceae.
CUUGAGGAAGUUGGCGAUCCAGUAGCUGGACUGCUUGUGGUAGCGCUUGAGAUUGUUGAGGCGGUCGAUGUAGAUGAGGCCGAAUCGGUCGAGGUAUCCGUCGCCCCACUCGAAGCAGUCCAUGAACGUCCAGGUGAAGUAGCCCUUCACGUUCACCCCGUUCUUGAUGGCGUGGUUGACGAACUGCAGGUGUUUCGAGUGGAACUCGAUCCUAUGCCCGUCCUUGAGCGCCUCCGUGAUUGGCAAGCUCUUGUUGUUCCCCUCGGCGAUUCCUGCAAUCACACAUGAAAAUGAUCGGGUUGUUGUACCUCCUCUUGGUGUAGAGGAGUAGCUCGCGGAGACCCGGAGGGUAGAGGAGUCGAUCUAUGUACGUACCUGCGGACCAAUGGGUUUGCCGUUGCGGAAGCCAGUGGUGUUGGCGCGGAUGUCGGUGUCGUAGGAGAGCCUGUUUGAGCUGGGCAGCGGCACGCUCUUGGCGUAGUAGGUGGUGUAGUAGUUGACGCCGAUGAAGUCAUAGGAUCCCCUCACCGCUGCCGCCUGCUCCGCCGUGAACGCCGGCAGCCGCGCCCCGAGCCACCCCCUCAUCGUGCCUGGGUAGUCGCCGUGCACGAUGGGGUCCAGGAACCAUCCGUACAUGAAGUCGAGGCUGCGUUGCACAACGCGGCGGUCAGCGGCCGUGUCAUUAUACGGCACGAACCAGUGCGACACCGCCGUGAUGCCGAUCUGCCCGUGCUGCGUGGGUUGGUACUUGGUGCGGUAGAGGUGGACGGCGGUGGCAUGGGCGAGGAUGACGUGGUGCGCUGCUAGGUAAGGCUCGCGGCUGGAGUCGCCGCCGGCACAGGAGGUGGAGACGUAGGGGGAGCACCGGCCCAAGGCGUGGAUGCCGGUGCCGUAGCCCUGGGAGCAGUAGGUCCAUGGCUCGUUGAAGGUGGCCCAGAACUUGACACGGUCGCCGAACUCCCGGAAGCACACUUCGGCGAAGUCCACAUAAUCCUUCAUGAUAUUCUCACUCAGGAAUCCUCCGUAUUUGCUCUCAAGGGCCUGUGGUGUGUCCCAGUGGAAGAUUGUGACAAAUGGCUUCAUCCCUUCAUCUUAACUGUCUAAAACGUCAACUAAUUCAGUCCGGAGAUGGUAGAAUUAACUUCACUCACUUGGCAGGAUCCGGCUCCAAGAAAUGGAAAACCGGAAGGCGUCCAUGUUCAUGUCUUUGAGAAGGUUUACAUCCUCCU